CACGUAGGCACCAAGCGUUGUCCGGAUUUAUUGGGCGUAAAGAGCUCGUAGGCGGUUCGAUAAGUCGGGUGUGAAAACUUUGGGCUCAACCCAAAGCGUGCAUUCGAUACUGUUGUGACUAGAGUUCGGUAGGGGAGUGGGGAAUUCCUAGUGUAGCGGUGAAAUGCGCAGAUAUUAGGAGGAACACCGAUGGCGAAGGCAGUUCUCUGGGCCGUAACUGACGCUGAGGAGCGAAAGCGUGGGGAGCGAACAGG
Molecule: ribosomal RNA, 254 nt
Filed under: uncultured bacterium
Lineage: Bacteria
Description: partial 16S ribosomal RNA
Rfam family: Bacterial small subunit ribosomal RNA
Source: RNAcentral